GCAUGCAUUGCCCAGCUGGUAGAGUAUGAGACUCUUAAUUUCAGUGUUAUAGGUUCGAGCCCCAAAUUUGGGCG
Molecule: non-coding RNA, 74 nt
Organism: Podarcis lilfordi (Lilford's wall lizard)
Lineage: Eukaryota; Metazoa; Chordata; Lepidosauria; Squamata; Lacertidae
Source: the annotation of a GenBank genome assembly